AUACGGAGGAUCCGAGCGUUAUCCGGAUUUAUUGGGUUUAAAGGGUGCGCAGGCGGCCAUUUAAGUCAGCGGUUAAAUCGUGGGGCUCAACCCCAUUCUGCCGUUGAUACUGGGUGGCUUGAUUGCGGUCGAGGUUGGCGGAAUUCGUUGUGUAGCGGUGAAAUGCAUAGAUAUGACGAAGAACACCGAUUGCGUAGGCAGCUGACCAGUCCGGAAAUGACGCUCAUGCACGACAGUGCGGGGAUCGAACAGGAUUAGAUACCCUGGUAGUCCGCACAGUAAACGAUGAAUACUUGUUUUCGGCGAUAUAAUGUCGGAGGCAAAGCGAAAGCGAUAAGUAUUCCACCUGGGGAGUACGCCGGCAACGGUGAAACUCAAAUGAAUUGGCGGGU
Molecule: ribosomal RNA, 392 nt
Filed under: uncultured bacterium
Lineage: Bacteria
Description: partial 16S ribosomal RNA
Rfam family: Bacterial small subunit ribosomal RNA
Source: RNAcentral